GAUUAACGCUGGCGGCGUGCAUAACACAUGCAAGUCGAACGAUGAAACUUUACUGACUUCUUCGGAAUGAUUUAAAGCGGAUUAGUGGCGAACGGGUGAGUAACGCGUGAGUAACCUGCCUUACACAAGGGGAUAGCCUCUGGAAACGGAGAAUAAUACCCUAUGAAACCAGACAAUCGCAUGAUAAUCUGGUCAAAAUGUUUAGUGGUGUAAGAUGGACUUGCGUCUGAUUAGCUAGUUGGUGAGAUAAAAGCUCACCAAGGCAACGAUCAGUAGCCGGCUUGAGAGAGUGUACGGCCACAUUGGGACUGAGACACGGCCCAGACUCCUACGGGAGGCAGCAGUGGGGAAUUUUGCACAAUGGGGGAAACCCUGAUGCAGCGACGCCGCGUGAUUUAGAAGGCCCUCGGGUUGUAAAAAUCUUUUGUAUAGGAAGAAAAUGACAGUACUAUACGAAUAAGGUCCGGCUAAUUACGUG
This 478-nucleotide ribosomal RNA is filed under the name uncultured bacterium. RNAcentral's name for it is "partial 16S ribosomal RNA". It matches the Rfam family "Bacterial small subunit ribosomal RNA", at positions 28 to 507 of the family's 1533-position model. The record is from RNAcentral.